GACGAACGCUGGCGGCGUGCCUAAUACAUGCAAGUUGAGCGCUGAAGGUUGGUACUUGUACCGACUGGAUGAGCAGCGAACGGGUGAGUAACGCGUGGGGAAUCUGCCUUUGAGCGGGGGACAACAUUUGGAAGCGAAUGCUAAUACCGCAUAAAAACUUUAAACACAAGUUUUAAGUUUGAAAGAUGCAAUUGCAUCACUCAAAGAUGAUCCCGCGUUGUAUUAGCUAGUUGGUGAGGUAAAGGCUCACCAAGGCGAUGAUACAUAGCCGACCUGAGAGGGUGAUCGGCCACAUUGGGACUGAGACACGGCCCAAACUCCUACGGGAGGCAGCAGUAGGGAAUCUUCGGCAAUGGACGAAAGUCUGACCGAGCAACGCCGCGUGAGUGAAGAAGGUUUUCGGAUCGUAAAACUCUGUUGGUAGAGAAGAACGUUGGUGAGAGUGGAAAGCUCAUCAAGUGACGGUAACUACCCAGAAAGGGACGGCUAACUACGUG
RNAcentral lists this ribosomal RNA (497 nucleotides) under uncultured bacterium. Its description in RNAcentral is "partial 16S ribosomal RNA". It matches the Rfam family "Bacterial small subunit ribosomal RNA", at positions 28 to 507 of the family's 1533-position model. The record is from RNAcentral.